Molecule: non-coding RNA, 1399 nt
Organism: Callithrix jacchus (white-tufted-ear marmoset)
Lineage: Eukaryota; Metazoa; Chordata; Mammalia; Primates; Cebidae
Source: RefSeq, a predicted model, not a curated record
CAAAGGGUGGGGAUCCAGAAACCUUUGAAGAAAGGGGAAGAAACCUUAUGCACUGACAGAUGUGGGGGGAAGGGAAAGCGGAUUUUGGGCUGAGCGAAGUUCUCACAGACGCCUUCCUGAGCUUAAGCUGACAAGAAAGGCAAAUCACAACACACGAGAGGGAAUUAUUUCUCGCUACCCUAUAUACAAAUCUGAAAUGUUAAUAAAUACCUUUCUGUACCAUUUCUUAAGGCAAUGAAAGUGAAUAAGAGACCAGAUCUCAGCAGGUGGAUAAACAGUAACUGAAGUGUGGGAAGAGACACUUGGAGCGCUGCAGAAAAUCUCCUAAAACGAACACUUAAAAUAUUAGUAAUAAUUAGCCGUUCCAGAGACCUCUGGGGGACAUAGCAAUGAGUAACGUAUUUCUGUCUCUCUCAGGUGUCACAGAUGCACCUCAGUGGCGGGCAAGCACUAUGUAAAUAGAAAAAUGACCAGGAAUGAAAAAGUGCCCCAGCCUUUAUGGUAACAUCCUCAGGCCAGUUUCACAGAUGGAGGAGAGGAUGCUCAUCUCCAAGCAGAAGCUCAUCUGCUUGGUGAAGAAGGAAGAUUCUGCCUAAGACAUGGAUGACUCGACAAGGAGAACAACAUGCCCCAAUAUCAUUCGAUUUAACACCUCAUUGCUCUCUAGGAAAUGAUCUGUAAACUUAGAAGUUUGCUGCUUCAUUCCUGGAAGUUUAGCAACAGCUUCCUGACUUCAAUUGGUUCUUUUCUUUUUUUUAGAUAAAGUUGCACUUGUAUUGCCCAGGCUGGAGUGCAAUGGCGCGAUCUUAGCUCACUGCAAACUCUGCCUCCCAGAUUCAAGCGAUUCUCCCACCUCAGCCUCCCAAGUAGCUGGGAUUACAGGCACGUGCCACCACACCUGGCUAAUUUUUUACAUUUAGUAGAGACGGGGUUUCACCAUGUUGAUCAGGCUGGUCUUGAACCCCUGACCUCAGGUGAUCCACCUGCCUUGGCCUCCAAUAGUGUUGGGAUUACAGGUGCCAGCCACCAUGCCUGGCCUUCAAUCGGUUCUAUACACUACUUUGUGUAUCUCUUUUAUAAAUAAUUGGAUCCAGCCAGGUGUGAGGGCUCACACCUGUAAUCUCAGCACUUUGGGAGGCCAAGGAAGGAGGAUUGAUUGAGCUAGGGAGUUCAAGACCAGCCUGGGCAACAUGGCAAGACCCUAUCUCUACAAAAACUACAUAAAUUAGCUGGGCAGUGGGUGUGGUGGCGUGUGCUUAUAAUCCCAGUUACUUGGGAGGCUGAGGUGGGAAGAUCACUUGAACCUUGGAGGUUGAGACUGCAGUGAGCUGUGAUUGCACCAUUACACUGCAGCCUGGAUGACAGAGACCUUGCCUCUAAAUACAUACAUACAUACAUA